Molecule: unclassified non-coding RNA, 204 nt
Filed under: uncultured fungus
Lineage: Eukaryota; Fungi
Description: sequence contains ITS1
Source: RNAcentral
UUAACUAUUGUAUAGUACUCAGACGACACUUAAUCAUUCAGGGUUUGGGCUCCACUGGCGGGCACUCCCCCGCCGAAGCCGGGGCGUGGCUGGGCCUCGGGCCCGCCAAAGCAACAAAUCAUGGUAUUCAAGGGUGGGAAUUCUAGCCCCUCGCGGGGCAUAGAAGACACUGUAAUGAUCCUUCCGCAGGUUCACCUACGGAAA